AGGAUGUUUAGACAGAAUUCUGACCCUGUUAGAGGGCCGAGGAGAAGGAGGGUGCAAACACGGCAUGUAACAUUCAGAGUUGGCCUCAUCCUCGUUCCUGAUUUGGAAACAUUCCAUCCCCAAAAGGUGGAAGCUUUAAAAAAAAUCAGGUGCCAGUGUCUCUAUCGGCCGAGGAGUUCCUUGAUGUUCUGAAAACUUCUUUUCCAAGACUGGGCAGCACUGAUUUUGACUUGGCCAGGGUUGAUUGUCAUAAAAAAAUUUGAAGACUUAAUGUUUCACUACUUUCACAUCUGUGCUGAAAGCCAGUGGAGAGCUAAAUCGGUCAGCUCUGUAUCUACUCCCAAAGGAGCGUUUAGAAGGGCAGGCUGAAGAACGGCAAGAAGAGUGUCAUGA
Molecule: long non-coding RNA, 393 nt
Organism: Sinocyclocheilus grahami
Lineage: Eukaryota; Metazoa; Chordata; Actinopteri; Cypriniformes; Cyprinidae
Exons: 3
Source: RefSeq, a predicted model, not a curated record